GGGCCCAUAGCUCAACGGCAGAGCAGUAGCCUUUUAAGCUAUUGGUUGGAGGUUCGAAUCCUCCUGGGCUCA
RNAcentral lists this transfer RNA (72 nucleotides) under Candidatus Gottesmanbacteria bacterium RBG_16_52_11. RNAcentral describes it as "tRNA-Lys". It matches the Rfam family "tRNA". Rfam says of the family: Transfer RNA (tRNA) molecules are approximately 80 nucleotides in length. Their secondary structure includes four short double-helical elements and three loops (D, anti-codon, and T loops). The record is from RNAcentral. Lineage: Bacteria; Candidatus Gottesmaniibacteriota.